GACGAACGCUGGCGGCGUGCCUAAUACAUGCAAGUCGAGCGGAGUUUUUAAAAGCUUGCUUUUAAAAACUCAGCGGCGGACGGGUGAGUAACACGUGGGCAACCUGCCCUGUAGACUGGGAUAACUUCGGGAAACCGAAGCUAAUACCGGAUAAUCAUAGAAGUUGCAUAGCUUCUAUGUAAAAGUUGGGUUUACCUAACACUACAGGAUGGGCCCGCGUCGCAUUAGCUAGUUGGUAAGGUAACGGCUUACCAAGGCGACGAUGCGUAGCCGACCUGAGAGGGUGAUCGGCCACACUGGGACUGAGACACGGCCCAGACUCCUACGGGAGGCAGCAGUAGGGAAUCUUCCGCAAUGGACGAAAGUCUGACGGAGCAACGCCGCGUGAGCGAUGAAGGCCUUCGGGUCGUAAAGCUCUGUUGUUAGGGAAGAAACAAGUGCUAUUCGAAUAGGGUGGCACCCU
Molecule: ribosomal RNA, 463 nt
Filed under: Bacilli bacterium oral taxon C43
Lineage: Bacteria; Bacillati; Bacillota; Bacilli
Description: bacterial SSU rRNA
Rfam family: Bacterial small subunit ribosomal RNA
Source: RNAcentral